RNAcentral lists this ribosomal RNA (430 nucleotides) under Bacteroidota bacterium. Its description in RNAcentral is "Bacteroidetes bacterium partial 16S ribosomal RNA". It matches the Rfam family "Bacterial small subunit ribosomal RNA", at positions 355 to 776 of the family's 1533-position model. Lineage: Bacteria; Pseudomonadati; Bacteroidota. The record is from RNAcentral.
UAGGGAAUCUUCGGCAAUGGGGGGAACCCUGACCGAGCAACGCCGCGUCAGUGAAGAAGGUUUUCGGAUCGUAAAGCUCUGUUGUUAAGGAAGAACGAGUGUGAGAAUGGAAAGUUCAUGCUGUGACGGUACUUAACCAGAAAGGGACGGCUAACUACGUGCCAGCAGCCGCGGUAAUACGUAGGUGGCAAGCGUUGUCCGGAAUUAUUGGGCGUAAAGCGCGCGUAGGCGGUUUUUUAAGUCUGAUGUGAAAGCCCACGGCACAACGGUGGAGGGUCAUUAGAAACUGGAAAACUUGAGUGGAGAGGAGGAAAGUGGAAUUCCAUGUGUAACGGUGAAAUGCGCAGAGAUAUGGAGGAACACCAGUGGCGAAGGCGACUUUCUGGUCUGUAACUGACGCUGAUGUGAGAGAGCGUGGGGAUCAAACAGG